Molecule: long non-coding RNA, 1542 nt
Organism: Myotis lucifugus (little brown bat)
Lineage: Eukaryota; Metazoa; Chordata; Mammalia; Chiroptera; Vespertilionidae
Exons: 6
Source: RefSeq, a predicted model, not a curated record
CAGCCUUUCAUCUGGACUCAGCGAAAUUCCCUUGAACUCGGUUUUUUUCAUGGCUUCCUUGAAACAUUGGGCCUACUCAUUCAAUAGUACCAUUUCUUGGCUGAAUGAGUGAAUGGAUAGAUGAUCCUGAAAGAAGUGGGGUCCUUCUAAUAGAACUCUACUAUCAACAAAAGAACACAGAUGAAAAAACUAAGAACUAAGAGAGAGGUGGAGAACUAAGAGAAGAAAAGCCAUUCACUCGAAAUUACAUACCACGAAUAAACGUUCUGUUCAACAGAUGCUUAAGAGAGAAAGCCAACUUUUUGGAUACACUGCUAAAGUUAAAGGACUGAAUUGGGGGUAAAAGCCCAGUAGCCGCAGUUCGACAAAACAAUUGAAUUUGAACAGGAGAAAACAGAUGGACCCCACCUUGAGGAGACAGGAAGAGGCCCUCCCUCUGCGAACCCUUCCCACUCUUCCAGAAAGUGGCAAACUUCCUUUAGCUGCUGGAGGACCCUCCACUUUGUAUCUGAAACUAUGCAUCUGCCUCUCCUGCUCUGCUAUGAAUUCCUCAGUAGGAAGGACUGAGCUUUAUUCAUCCUCCUUGAAGUCCCCAGGCCCGCAGUUGGCGCAAGUCUCUGCCUCAGCCGCUGAAAGCACGCAAUGGAACAGUGUGCCUUUCAGCAAAUAAGAGUGAGCAAUGGAAAAUGCAAAGCGUCAACCCUUAAUGCAAGCAAUGGCAUGCUGAAUGCAAUUCCAAACGAAGGGAAACUGCUUAUUUUCACUGAAAUGAAGUACUCUGGGAAGUACUUCCCUCCAGUUCUGGGAGUCCGUGGUGAUAAAGCUAGUUCAUCAAGGCUUAGCACGCCCCCUGUUGGAUUUAGCUGGCAUUUAGUAAGAAGAGGACAGGAGAGAAACUUGUUGAUACAGAUCAUUUCUUGGACAUAGGUAUGUAGGGGUAGGGCCCUUUCUGCAAAAUUCUCUGUUAACAAGGCAUGAAAUGAGUCAUGUAUUUACUAGACUAUCCCUGGAACAUAAUUUGACUAAUCUCAAAAAGGUCACUCCUUUUUGAAGAGUAGAAAUAUUUUCCUGAUGGGAAGUCAAAAUGGCAUGGACUUAAUUCCUCUUAGCAAGCAUGCAACCACAAAAAUCAAGUCAACCACUAAAAUUCCUCUUCAGGCCCCCCCCCCAGGUGAGGUUUAAAUUGUAAUCUCUAAAUGUCCAUUGAUAGAGAACUUGUUGAGUAAGUAUAGUGCGUCCAUACUUUGGAAUACUGACAUGGAACAAUCUCCAAGAUAUAUUAGUGACUGGAAAAAAAAAGAAAAAUGCUGAGCAAUAUGUAAAUUUGAUCAUAUAUGCAGAGACUUCCUAUAGAAGAUUCCACCAGAAAAUAGUAACAAUUGUCUCCUGGGAAAGAAAUUACUGCAGACAGUGAUAGAAAGAAAACCUCUUUUCACUAUAUUUUUGGUUGCUACUCACUAUUUGUAUCUUGGAUGCUACCUAUGGAAAUAAUCUAACCAAUUAAAAAAAUGUAACAACCUUAUGAAGGUCCAGUAAAAUUCA